GGCUGGUCCGAUAGUAGUGGGUUAUCAGAGCUUAUUAACAUUAGUGUCACUAAAGUUGGUAUACAACCCCCAACUGCUAAAUUUGACUGGCUUUAA
RNAcentral lists this Y RNA (96 nucleotides) under Saimiri boliviensis boliviensis (Bolivian squirrel monkey). RNAcentral describes it as "Y RNA (ENSSBOG00000000233.1)". It matches the Rfam family "Y RNA". Rfam says of the family: Y RNAs are components of the Ro ribonucleoprotein particle (Ro RNP), in association with Ro60 and La proteins. The Y RNAs and Ro60 and La proteins are well conserved, but the function of the Ro RNP is not known. In humans the RNA component can be one of four small RNAs -- hY1, hY3, hY4 and hY5. The record is from Rfam by way of RNAcentral. Lineage: Eukaryota; Metazoa; Chordata; Mammalia; Primates; Cebidae.